Molecule: ribosomal RNA, 492 nt
Filed under: uncultured bacterium
Lineage: Bacteria
Description: partial 16S ribosomal RNA
Rfam family: Bacterial small subunit ribosomal RNA
Source: RNAcentral
AGUGAACGCUGGCGGUAGGCCUAACACAUGCAAGUCGAACGGCAGCACAGUAAGAGCUUGCUCUUACGGGUGGCGAGUGGCGGACGGGUGAGGAAUACAUCGGAAUCUACUUUUUCGUGGGGGAUAACGUAGGGAAACUUACGCUAAUACCGCAUACGACCUACGGGUGAAAGCAGGGGAUCUUCGGACCUUGCGCGAUUGAAUGAGCCGAUGUCGGAUUAGCUAGUUGGCGGGGUAAAGGCCCACCAAGGCGACGAUCCGUAGCUGGUCUGAGAGGAUGAUCAGCCACACUGGAACUGGGACACGGUCCCGACUCCUACGGGAGGCAGCAGUGGGGAAUAUUGGACAAUGGGCGCAAGCCUGAUCCAGCCAUACCGCGUGGGUGAAGAAGGCCUUCGGGUUGUAAAGCCCUUUUGUUGGGAAAGAAAAGCAGCAGGUUAAUACCCCGCUGUUCUGACGGUACCCAAAGAAUGAGCACCGGCUAACUUCGUG